RNAcentral lists this transfer RNA (75 nucleotides) under Candidatus Liberibacter psyllidaureus. RNAcentral's name for it is "tRNA-Gly". It matches the Rfam family "tRNA". Rfam says of the family: Transfer RNA (tRNA) molecules are approximately 80 nucleotides in length. Their secondary structure includes four short double-helical elements and three loops (D, anti-codon, and T loops). Lineage: Bacteria; Pseudomonadati; Pseudomonadota; Alphaproteobacteria; Hyphomicrobiales; Rhizobiaceae. The record is from RNAcentral. RNAcentral also lists the same sequence under 3 other names.
GCGGGUGUAGCUCAGGGGUAGAGCACAACCUUGCCAAGGUUGUGGUCGAGGGUUCGAAUCCCUUCGCCCGCUCCA